Molecule: ribosomal RNA, 253 nt
Filed under: uncultured bacterium
Lineage: Bacteria
Description: partial 16S ribosomal RNA
Rfam family: Bacterial small subunit ribosomal RNA
Source: RNAcentral
UACGUAGGGGGCGAGCGUUGUCCGGAUUUAUUGGGCGUAAAGCGCUCGCAGGCGGUCCGAUGCGUCGUGCGUGAAAGCCCCCGGCUCAACUGGGGAGGGUCAUUCGAUACUGAUCGACUCGAAGGCAGGAGAGGGUAGUGGAAUUCCCGGUGUAGUGGUGAAAUGCGUAGAUAUCGGGAGGAACACCAGUGGCGAAGGCGACUACCUGGCCUGUUCUUGACGCUGAGGCGCGAAAGCUAGGGGAGCAAACGGG